This 316-nucleotide non-coding RNA is filed under the name Mycolicibacterium grossiae. Its description in RNAcentral is "Mycobacterium grossiae Mycobacterium smegmatis small RNA 1". It matches the Rfam family "Mycobacterium smegmatis small RNA 1". Rfam says of the family: Mycobacterium smegmatis small RNA 1 is highly expressed during stationary phase of growth. Ms1 RNA directly interacts with RNA polymerase (RNAP), but in a different way than 6S, which is present in other bacteria. Lineage: Bacteria; Bacillati; Actinomycetota; Actinomycetes; Mycobacteriales; Mycobacteriaceae. The record is from Rfam by way of RNAcentral.
ACGGACGCGAGGAGAGGCCAAGGCCGAGCCGGAAGAGAAGGCUCGAUCUCCCGAACCGAGCGGCCCAGCACGGAUACGGGCACCCACGCGGAGCACAUGCCGCGAUAGAGGCAGAAGCGUUGCGGGCCUGCGGAAUUGCGAACAGCGGACGGACGUGCGACCUCUUGGGCGGGGUCGUCGCCGGGGCGCAGCGCAAGAACGCCGAGGCCGACCCACGCAACCCAUACAGCACGCUUGGUAACCGGUAUCCGUGCUAGCGGGCGGCGAGCCGAGACACAUCACCCGAUGUGCAUCGGAUCGUCGCCCGCUUCGAUUU